CUCCGAACAGAGCGCUGCAGAGCCAGAGAGCCGGGUCUCUCCCCCCCCACCUACUUUUCCACUGGCCCCUUCAGCCUCCGAGACCCGCAGGAAUCAGGGAAGGGCAACGCGGCGGGAAGCAGAGGUGGGUCCUGUACCAAGCGCCCAGCUGUGGGGUCGCCCCUAGCAGAGAGCAUAGGCACAGAGAUCCACGCUCCAGGGACCCCAUGAAUGCGUGACAUUCACAUAAACUGAAAGAAACCCGUUUACCAGGAGUGGUGACCAUCGUGGAACCCCAGCGACUCGGAGGAUGAGGCAGGACAAUCACACGGCCAUCGUCCCAAGAAAGCGUGUGGGUCAGUUGCGGUGAACGCGACUCUGGGGCGUGAAGGGGGCUCUGGUGGUGGCCCGCAGAGAACCCCGGACGGAAAAGCCACUUGACAGAGAAGCCAAGGUCCGGUCGGUCUGUCUGCAGGGUCAGGGAGCCUCCCGGAGCUGGGGGGACUUCUCACGCUGUUGGGGACACAGUGGGUACUGCAGUGAGUGUUUAAAAGAAUCGCUCUGCAGAAAGAAGGGAAAUACACUAUUUUUGGAACUAUAGAGUAUUUUUUCCUUUUUCUGCACCUUUGAAGUUUUCUAAACGUAUGCAGGUGUCACUAGAACAAAACCCUGGACUCCUCGCUCCCUAUGGAGGCUGAAGUCUGAAAAGGGGAGUUUCCAAGCGCAGCGCAGCCUGAGGCCAAGCCCAAGGCAGUAGGGAGCGCGGGGACCCCGAGAACCUGGCUCGGAAGGAAGCUGUUGGCAAGAUGAUCUUUAAUCAUAAAAGCCCCGAGGGCAGGGCGCAUUGUGAAGAUAGGAUCCAGGGACGCAGAGUCCAGGGUGACGUAGUAAGAAGCAGCUCCCGGGUGCCUGAGAGGCGGCAGGCGGGGCGCGGGAUAGGGCGACACCUGCCGGCCGUCGCCGCGCUCCUGCCCUGACGGUGAAACAAGUCAUCUCAGGUUCCAAGCUGAAUGGGCUGCUGGCUCCCGGGGCUUCAUUUCCACCUGAGCAACAAAGGCAGCUGUCCAGCCUCCCAGAGGUGUGGGGAUAGGGACACUUGUGAACUGUGAAAAUCUGCAAGCCUCAAUAUGGAAAGCAUCCCAAAGAAACUCAAAGGGCAUAAAGGCGAAUCUCACGUCUACUCCGGAGAGGGAAAGAGAGUUAAGAGGGAAAGAGAGUUAAGACAAAACGAGCAUAAGGUAAAAAGGAAAAGAUUGUUUUUUCUAAAAAUUGUCCACGUUUGGGGUGGAGGUCUCUCAGCGGUAUAGCACGUGCUUAGCCUGCAUGAGGCCCUAUCAAUCCCCAGCACCAAAAAUAAAUUAACUAAUUCAUAAUAAAAAAAAAUGAAAUUUACAUUAAAAUUAUGUUCUUUUAAAGACUUCAUAAGGAGAAAGAAAGCAAAUCAACAAUGAUACGGAGGGUAUUUGCAAUGCAUAUACCUGAAAAGGGAUUUAUACCCAGAAUAUAUGUCCUUUUUGGAAAAAAAAUCCAUGAACCAAGAUUCAACUCAGCAAAUUAAAACCUAGAGCAGGUCUUCCUAGAAAGGAACCAGAAAACCCAUUAACUGUGAAAAGAUGCCUAACCUCAUCUGUUAUCAAGAAAAUAUAAAUUAAAACAAUGAUAUGCAAUCCCACACCCACUAGAUUAGCAAAACCUCUACCAACAUAGAGUGUUAAGACGUAGGGGAAAGAACUUGCAGUCACUGCUGUUGGAAAUGUGAGUAGGUUGCGAUCAUUUUAGAACACAGCAUGACUUGACCUAAUAAAGGUGAACACCUAAUAAAGGUGUGACCCAGUAGCCAGUAAUGCCAGUCCUCCCUGUGUGUACCUGGCAAAGAUUACUGCAAUUUUAAUCAAAAUCCCAGCAAGCUCUUUAGUUAAGAUUGGCAAGUUUAUUUUAAAAUUGAUAUGGAAAUGUAAAGAACCUAUCGUGGCCAAAAUAGCUCUAAGAACGAACUUACAUUACCUGAUUUCAAGACUUAUUAUAAAGUUGUAGAAAUCAAGACAGUAUGAUAUCGAUCUAAAGAUCCAUAAAAAGAAGGAAAAAAAUAGAAAGCACAGAAAUAGACCCAAUCAUAUAAGCUUUUAUUUGUCAGCCUUCCGUUACUCUGUCAAGUACCUGAGGUAAAUCAACUUAAAAAGCAGAAAACUGGGAAACAAAAAGAAGAUGAUUGAGGCAUCCCCUUUAAAGGGCAUGCCCCAGUGAUCUCCCACCAGGCUACAUACCUCCUAAAGUUUUUAUCAUCUCCCAACAGCACCACCCUGAGACAAAGCUUUUAACACUCUGGUUGACAUUCCAGAUCCAAACUAUAGCAAUGGUCAAUUAAUGGUCAACAAAGGCAGUUCAAUGGAGAAAGCAUAAUCUUUUUUUAAGAAACAGCCAUAUACGAAACAAUUUGAGCCUAACCUUUACUUCACACCAUUUCCAAAAGUUAACUUGAAAUAGGUCACAUAUGUAAGUUGGAGAACUAAAAGCAUAAAACUGCUGGAAGAAGUAAAAAAUUCGGAAGAAAAGAUAGUAGGGAAACUUAGCAACUGUAUGUUUUAAAGGGAUGGUCCACAAAUUUUAAAGGGACACUCCUCCCUUCAAGAGGUGGAGCUUAGCCAGGCCUGGUGGCACAUGCCUGUAAUCCCAGCAUUGAGCUCAGGUGGUUGAGGCAGGAGGAUAGUGAGUUUAAAGGCAGCCUCAGCAACUUAGCAAGGCGCUAAGCAACUCAGUGAGACUCUGUCUCUAAAUAAAUACAAAAUAGGGCUGGAGAUGUAGCUCAGUAGUUGAGUGUCCCCUGAGUUCAAUCCCUGGUACCAAAUUCUCUUCUAGCAAAGAGAAUACAGCAGAUGUGGUGGGAUGUCGGUUCUGAGAUUAGUGUAUAAAAAGACUGAAGUUUUCACUGUGGGUUCUCUGUCUGUCUCUGUUUGUUAUUUACUUUGCAGGGAACACCAACUGCCACAGCAUGAAACUCCCAGGGAAGAGAGCAAUCAGCUGCCUUGCUGUUGGAAGAGGCCCUUGUGGUAAGGCGCAGGAGGGUUACCAUCGAUCUCACACAUGAGCUUGGCAGCAGAUACUCCCCUCACCAACCUGAAGAUGACCACAACCCCACAAACAAGGGACAGCUUAUUGCAAUCUCAUGAAAGAUUGGGUGGCCAGAACUACCUAGCUAAGCUGCUCCCACAUUCCUGAUGCAUGGAAACUGUGAAGUAAUAAAAGUGUUUAUUGUUUAAAGAUGCUAAU
Molecule: long non-coding RNA, 3246 nt
Filed under: Marmota monax (woodchuck)
Lineage: Eukaryota; Metazoa; Chordata; Mammalia; Rodentia; Sciuridae
Source: RNAcentral